UACACUCCUACGGGAGGCAGCAGUGGGGAAUUUUGGACAAUGGGCGAAAGCCUGAUCCAGCAAUGCCGCGUGAGUGAAGAAGGCCUUCGGGUUGUAAAGCUCUUUUGUCAGGGAAGAAACGGUGAGAGCUAAUAUCUUUUGCUAAUGACGGUACCUGAAGAAUAAGCACCGGCUAACUACGUGCCAGCAGCCGCGGUAAUACGUAGGGUGCAAGCGUUAAUCGGAAUUACUGGGCGUAAAGCGUGCGCAGGCGGUUUUGUAAGUCUGAUGUGAAAUCCCCGGGCUCAACCUGGGAAUUGCAUUGGAGACUGCAAGGCUAGAAUCUGGCAGAGGGGGGUAGAAUUCCACGUGUAGCGGUGAAAUGCGUAGAUAUGUGGAGGAACACCGAUGGCGAAGGCAGCCCCCUGGGUCAAGAUUGACGCUCAUGCACGAAAGCGUGGGGAGCAAACAGGAUUAGAAACCCCUGUAGUCCCAUGAU
Molecule: ribosomal RNA, 478 nt
Filed under: uncultured organism
Description: partial 16S ribosomal RNA
Rfam family: Bacterial small subunit ribosomal RNA
Source: RNAcentral